RNAcentral lists this long non-coding RNA (225 nucleotides) under Salvia miltiorrhiza (redroot sage). Its description in RNAcentral is "long non-coding RNA (SMIL_LNC012926)". The record is from RNAcentral. Lineage: Eukaryota; Viridiplantae; Streptophyta; Magnoliopsida; Lamiales; Lamiaceae.
GUAGCGACCCGCUCUUUUAUCAGUAGUUAAUUCCAGUUUUCGUGUUUAUUUAUCUAUCUUUUGGUAAAUGAAGCACUUUAUGUUUUCAACUAUGUUUCUGAAUUUUGUAUUUUGGAGACAGAGUCACUACACUAGCAGUAUGCAUUUAUUUAUCUUCGCGUGUUUAAAGACCGCGACGAAAAUCUUUGAGUCGAUGAAUAAUUAUUAUUCAAAGUUAUAAUCAAC